RNAcentral lists this long non-coding RNA (5117 nucleotides) under Phoenix dactylifera (date palm). Lineage: Eukaryota; Viridiplantae; Streptophyta; Magnoliopsida; Arecales; Arecaceae. The record is from RNAcentral.
AACAGUAUACCAAUUAAAUCCUAGUCCUCCAUAAGAUAGAUCAGAAUUCAUUAACUUGUGGUACCUACACAAUCAUUGGGAAUGGCCUGUCUUUUUAUAAUAAAGAAAAUAACAAAAAGUACUAUAUACUCUACUUCCUGAUAAGCAUCUGGCUCUACAAAAAAGUAUCCACUAGAACAACCUUCCCUAGCAUUAAAGGGUCGCUUGAACCUUUAUGACAGCAGAACCAUUCAAAAAGCCGGAGAAACACUGCAGUCUUAUUGGUCUACAUGGCCAGACGUUUAGAUAAGCAUCAACCACUACUGAGCAAUAUCAACAUGUGUAGUCCCAUAACAUGUAAUAUAUUAAUGAAUACAACAAACUCAUUCAAAGCAAAUGUGCUAGUGAUGGCUCAAGGGAUAACAAGUAGAUGUGGUUAAUACAAUGGCAGUAUAUAACAUGUAAAUGGACCAGCAGCUGGUAGUGGUAGCUCAGCUGGUUGGCACCUACCUCUCCAAUUGAGGGCCUCAGUUCAAACCUGAGUGGUGGUGAAUAACCACUGUUUCUAAUGUGUGUGUGUGUGUGUGUGUAACAUUUUAAUGCAUCAUUGGACCUGGUUUGAGAUGUCUCAGCAGCAAAAUUAUUUAGGCCUUCAGACUGCUUUUCAAUGAAUACAGAAAAGCAGGCCUCAUACUAACCCAGCCAGAAGAGCCUAAGCAUUGGCACCAUAUAAGUGCCACUAUCCAGAUGGACUGUUGGAAACUUUAUUCUCAGGCUUAAACAGAAUAUCAACUCCAACAAGACUACCAGGAAUAUUGUGCCAACUAUGAGCCAGUCUUGUCCUAGGCCAAACAUGGACAGCAUCUGCACCAUUACCAAGCAAAUCAUUAAAAAUGCAAUGUUGCUUGAAAUGCCAUACACAGAAUUCAUAGAAGAAUGAAGUGUAAACACACAUUCACCAGAACCAACAUUGAAAAAGUCCAAGAGUCCUGACAAUACAUGAGGAGAGCACCUCAUGCAAUUGUCAGAAAGUAAAACAGAAGGAAUAAUAACCCCACUAUUCUCAGCAUAAAUUCCUUUGACAAAACUCAAAUUCCUUGUGGCUAAGCAUGGGCACUUGCAUAUCUCAUUGUAUAGUCAAGAUUUUAUUCCCAAUGCUAUCUAAUUAAUGUUUUAGUGGCAAUGGAGUCAUGUAAGGGUAGCCCAACACAUUUUAGUGGCCUAGACAAUUACUUUCAAAUGCUGUAGAUCUUCCUAAAUGAGGAAAAAGUUUGAUGAUAUAAAGAGAGGGAAUUACCUUUGCACUAGAAGUAACAAAUCACUUUUGAAAAUUUUGUCGCGAAGGUGUAACAGGCAUCCCAAGAUUUCCAUCACUUUUCCACACAACCAAAUGAAUCAAACAGAGAAUACGACAAGCACUUUGUCAAGCAGACCAGCCUAUAUAUAUGAACACCAUAUCAGCGAUAUGAAGUAGGAAGAGCACAAGAUGGAGAAGAUGGGUCCUGCAAGUUCAUCCUCCUCUUUAGUCUUUUGAAAUAUGGAAGUAUCAUGACAUUCAAGAGUUGUCACCAGGCCUUACAUGAAGAAGCAGAGAGUGGAGUGCAGCCAAGGAUGAUCUGCCGGCAUCAACUUAAGAGAAAAUUCCUCUACUGCAGACUGUCGGCAGGUUGUCCUUGGCUACAUUUUGCCCUCGUCUUCUCAUGCAAGGCUCGUGGAAGGGGCAGAUCGCAGCUAUCCGCAACCAUGUUAGCAUGGAUUCCUAAAUAAUGUGGUUUCUUAAGUGCAUGUUGGUGCUAGAAAUAUGAAGUGUAAGGCCUCUUCAUUUGCAAGCAAGAAAUUCAUUUUGUUGCACUUCUGCAGAAUGCCCACAUGUGCUUGUGUACACACGUAGAGAGUGGAAGGGGGGGGGGGGGGGUAAGGGGGCGGCAUUGGAUAACUAUCUUAUAAUUUUAUAGAGAUGUCAAAAUAUAAUAGCAUAUUUUUUUAAAAUAGCCUUCAUUCAUUGAUAUCCAGACUGGAGCAAUCUUGCUGAAUCGCAAUACAUCAAGGUAUGCAAAUGAUUUUGAUUAUAGAUAAAACAAUUCAAAUUUAACAAUAUAAGUACUUAAUAAACAAAGUUAUUUAUCUGAUACAAACAAGGUCGGUGGAACCGGUACCGGGACUUGUACCGGUUGCCCAACAAUACAGUAUGGUUCAGUACGGUGCUAUGCCGACUUGUGGCAUAUCGACAAAGGGAAGCUAGAGAGAGAAGGGGAUAGGGAGAAGAAAAGAGAGGGAGGGAGGGGCCUUUCACGCCUCCUCUCCUCCUGCCAUGCCAUAACAAAAGCGUGGAAAGGAGAGAGAGACAGAUGGAGGGAGAGGGAGGGUGGGAGAGAGAGAGAGGCCAAGAGAGGGAGAGGGCAUUCGAGCCCCCUCUUCUCUGGUGCUAUAUAAUAGGGGCAGAGCCCUUGUUUCGAAAUGAAAAGAUUAAGGGGAUAGAGCCCCUAUUUCGUUUCAAAAAAAGGGCAUUUUGAAACGAAAAGGUCAAGGGGAUAGAGCCCCUAUUUCUUUUCAAAAUAGGAGCUCUGCCCCUGUUACAUAGCGCCGAAGGAGAGGGAGCUCGAAAGCCCUCUUCCUUUCUCACUCUCGGCCUCUCUCUUCCCCCUCCCUCUUCCUCCCUCCCUCUCUCCCUCUCUCGUCCUCUCUUUCUUCCUCUCCCUCUCCCUGUCCCUUGCCAGUGUUUUGAAUUGAGGGGCGGAACCGUAUUGAUCCACUUUUGGUAUAGCUUGGUUGCCCCAAACCAAGCGGUUUAGGAUGGUACAGUGAACCAUGGAUACAAGCAUGUACCUCUUGAUUUUGUGAGGCCACUUGCUGAGUACUUGCACACCUAUUUAAUCACUACCUGAAUAAAUAGAUAAUUGGAAGACUUGUAUUGUACUAUUGAUGAAUAUAUACUUAAUAACACAUUUUGCAGUUGCGUUACUCCAUUGAAACCUCAAGAGAAGAACUGAUGGUUCAUGGACUUUUAGAAGUAACUUAGGAGCUGUAGGUGAAGGUAUAGCUAUGGAAACAAAAGCUUUAGAAAUUGUAUGAAGGUUCAACAAAAACACAAGGGUAAAUUGUGACUCCAUACUCCAUUUUGCAAUAGAAGGCAUCAUUGCUCAUAAUGAAUGUUAAAGGCCAAAACAUAAGGAUAACAUGAAAAAACAAUUGUGCAGGAAGUGUUGUUCCCCGCUUCCAGGGAAUCUUUAAUAUAUAUGGAAUUGUAAAUAUAAUUUUGCAGAUCAUGGCAAGUUUCUUGUCAUUUAAUUUUUAUUCAAGGAAUUUUUACAGUUCUCAGUUGUUCUUGCAACAAAAUUUUAUUAUGUUGAAUUUAAGUUCUUGCAUGGUUCCUUCUUUGUUUGACAAAUGCAUUUCCCUUUAAUAUGAGGCACUUGCUUCAUUUCCAAUUCUCUCGAGCACUAUAAAGAAAGCCAUAGUCGAUGUGUAUCAACCUUAUUAAAAACCCUCUUAGUAUAUAACCACUAAAAGAUUAGUCCCAUGCUUUCAUAUAUGUAAUCUUGCCAUUCAAAAACUAAAAUCAAACAUGUGCAUUUGCAUGUGCUUCAUGCUAGUUGAUUCGACAUUCGUUACAACCAGACAAUUUUGAGAUAUUAGAGAUAUGAAGCCAAAGACAAACAAACAAACUCAUGAUUUAUGAGCGGACAAUCUUUUUUUUUUUUUUUUGUAAGGGAGAAGGGAGGAAGUGAAAUACUUCCCCUCAAAUUUUAUUCAGUAGAAAAUAAAUCUGUACAAGAGAAAAGUAACAAAAGUUACAAAAUCCGAGAGAACAAGGGAGCAAGGGUACUCAUAAGCUGAUCGUGGCUCUCUUUUGCUUUGCCAUCACAAAGAUUACCCUGUAGAAGGUGAAGAUAUUUUUUAUCAAAGAAGAUUCUAGAAUUUCGUUCCAAACAAACUAGCCGACGCAUUGCCAUGACAAGCUGAUCCCAGGCUCUUCUCAAAGGAGAUUUAAUUUUUCUACAGCACCAUGAAGUCUAAUGGUCCUGAAGAUUAGUCGGCAGCCUAGAGAACUUGAGGUGUGUCUUCAAGACUGACCAAAAGGUUCUUAUGAAUGGACACUUUAUAAAAAGGCGUUUUACAGACUCAACAUUUGCAGCACACAAGGGACAUCCAGAACUAACUCCCCAACCCUUCUUCGCAAGUACCUCUCCCAUAUAUAGUCUAUUUUCGAGAGCAAGCUAGAGUAAUAUUUUAGCCUUCUCAGUAGUAGCUGCUGCCAUCCAAACAGGUGUACAAUAAGGCUAAAGGAUACCCAAUUCAUGGUUUAGAAAUUUGCAGAAGGAAUUUACUGAAUAGUUUCCACUACUUGUGAGUUUCCACACAGGUGCAUCUGCCAUUCUGCUUGGCCUCAUGAGUGGACAAUCAAUACCGAGUUUAGAAUGUGUUAAAGUAACAGAUCUAAAACACAGAAAAGAUGACGGUGAUGUAAUGCAACGGGUAAUACAUAGCCUGAUCAAGACAAACUUCAUGCUUUUCUUAAUGUUUUACUUCCACACGUACGUGAUCGAUCCUUUGAAAAUUCCCCUACUUUUCUAUGUAAUAGUUGGUGCAAUUUUGUACACUUUUAUCUCAAAUAUCCAUCUAGUCAAAUCUCAACUAAUAUAGUUUAUUUAGUCGUAAUAUCUCAUUGCAGUUUUUGGACUUCGAUGAUGCCAGACCUGAUAGCUCCCAAUUAUGAUUCUUCUAAACAAGUUUCUCCAGUAGAUUCCUCACUCCGUUUUUUUUGGGGAAAAAAAAGAAAACUUUCGUGCUUCUUUAAUCAAUCCCACACAUAAUGCGACUGAUAUGAUCUACAUUUCUAGUUUUCCUCUCCCUCAGCAAGCUAAUGUCGAAGAUCUACAACAGAUACAAAAUAUCUUCAACCAACAGGAAAGAGAUGAGGAAGAACUUCCCAAACCUUAACCGAUACAUGAUCGAAAUCCCUCGGCAAAUCCUCGAGAUCCUUCUUUCCUCGUCUCCGUGCGAUCGGAUAAACCUAGGGAUGGAAAUAUCUCGAAUAAAGGGAAAAAACAAUUGUUGGCGGGGAGAGAGGGAGAGAGAGGAGGGGCGAAAGUUUUCGGGGUCUCGCCGGCGUCGCCGCGCACGAGCGCGUUAUUGAG